Long non-coding RNA from Equus caballus (horse), 1825 nucleotides. The record is from Ensembl. NCBI's taxonomy places the organism in Eukaryota, Metazoa, Chordata, Mammalia, Perissodactyla, Equidae.
UGGGGGUAAUAUACAGCAUCCCUGCCCCGUGGGAUUGCUGUGAGAAUCUAAGCGCUCCAGACUCCUAACCCAGCAGCUCCCUCUGGUUACAGGACACGGAUUCCCAGGUGAAGGCGGAGGAGGCGGGAAGCCCCUGCCCCGAGUUCCCCCUGGGCCUAACCCGCGAACUUCUUGGACAGGAAAAGGGGCUGCUGCAAACCAGGAUGUGAAAAGGCCGCGGGGGCAGAGAGGGCGGAGGCCGCCGGGGAGGCCGCCAGACACAGUAAAUAAUUCACACAGAUGAACCGGAGAUAAGUGCGGCUUCGUGGGGGAUUGAGUUCAGGUGGCAGGAGGCUCAGACGGCUGCAGGGGACCUGCGGGCUCCCCGGGUCUGAGAGCGGAGAAUUACUGCCGCUCCGUCUGCCAGGAAAACUCGGCCCCAGGUGCCGGCUCGGCCGCUCCCUGCCAUGGGCGGGAGCUCCCCGGAACUGCCCGGCGGGGCAACCCGCCGCGGCCCGCCGCCUCGACCCCGCCCAGCCGUCCCCAUGGCAACCGGCGGCCUGGUCCAGGGUUCACCGCCAACCGGAUCCUCAGCCUCCCCUCCCCCACAGGAGGAUGAGCAUUUUAGGCUCAGAACCCUGAGCUCUCUGAGCUGCCAGAAGCGGUAGAAAGUCGUCUCAUCCGACGCCCUCCUUAUAUUGGAGCAGUUGAAACCAGGGACUCGGAGUCAGCCUCCCUGGGUUUUGAUCCCAGCUCCACGACUUUGCAGCUGUGCCACUUCAGGCAGAUUUUAUAAACCAGAGCAGCUGCCUGAAGGUUUCCAAGAGAAAAUUCUGCACAGUUUCUAACAAGGGUGACAGUUCCCGUCCACAGGAAGUUGCUUUUAUUUAUUAAGGGUUUUUUAAUCUCUUUUUUUGUAAGGCUCCAUCUAUCGGUCAUCAGGCUGCACCUUGGGCCCUGCGGGCAUUUUUGUUUUCCCCAGUUUGCCUGGAACUCAUGAUUACAUCUAAACCACAGUGGGCUUGCCCAACACAGGGGCAAAGUUGAACAGCUGAAAAGUGGGUCACUCACACGCCUGGGCAAAGAAUCCCAAGCAAUUUAUGGAGACACUCCCCCCCUCAAGGAGGGGGGAACAUAACUCCACCCCUUAAGUGGGCUCCACAUAAUGAUUUCCUUCCAAAGAGGCCAGUAUGGAAAGGGGGGAAGAAAGAGUGACUUUGCAGUGGUUAAACCGGAGAAGUGCUGUGUCAGCCCGGUGAUCAAGGUCAACAUCAACUGUGAGCAGUCAUGUUGACAGCUGCUACCCAUGAUAUGAUGUGAUGAGGAUAUCACUUUGCCUCCGUGGUCUUCCUCCCAAAACCCAUAACCCCAGCUGAACCACGAGAAAAACAUCAGACAGACCCCAAAUGACAGACAGUCUACGAAAUGCCAGACCAGGACUCCAUCAAAAACAGGGAAAGUCUUGGGGCUGGCCCCGUGGCGGAGUGGUUAAGUUCCCGCGCUCCGCUGCAGGCAGCCCAGUGUUUCGUUGGUUCGAAUCCUGGGCGCGGACAUGGCGCUGCUCAUCAAACCACGCUGAGGCAGCGUCCCACGUGCCACAACUAGAAGGACCCACGACGAAGAAUAUACAACUAUGCACCGGGGGGCUUUGGGGAGAAAAAGGAAAAAAAUAAAAUCUUUAAAAAAGUAAACUAAAAAAUAAAAAAACAAGGAAAGUCUGAGAAAUUAUCACACCCAAGGGGAGCUUAAGGAGACACAAUGACUAAAUUAAAGUGUAUCGUGGAACAGGAAAAGGACAUUAGGUAAAAACUAAUGAAAUCCAAAUGAACUGUGGAGGUUAGUCAAU